This 455-nucleotide long non-coding RNA is filed under the name Nicotiana benthamiana. RNAcentral describes it as "long non-coding RNA (NBEN_LNC007561)". Lineage: Eukaryota; Viridiplantae; Streptophyta; Magnoliopsida; Solanales; Solanaceae. The record is from RNAcentral.
AUGGCUGCACUGUACUGUUCGUUACGAAUCGUUCUUGUUGCAGCUUUCCAGUCAUAUUUCUCCAUCUCUACGCGUGCUGUUUUCCCCAUAGUUUCUCUCAAUUCAGCGUCAUGCAAAAGAGGCACUAGUUUGCUCAAGCAGUCGUCAAGGUCCCCAGGAUUAAACAGAUACCCAAUCUUGCCCUGCUGAUCGUCAGGGAUGAUAUCUGGAACUCCACCGGCACGGGCAGCUACUACAUGCGUGCAGUUUUCCCCAUAGUUUCUCUCAAUUCAGCGUCAUGCAAAAGAGGCACUAGUUUGCUCAUGCAGUCGUCGAGGUCCCCAGGAUUAAACAGAUAUCCAAUCUUGCCCUGCUGAUCAUCAGGGAUGAUAUCUGGAACUCCACCAGCACGGGCAGCUACUACAGGAAGCCCCGAUGACAUGGCCUCCAAAACGACGAGCCCCAGUGUCUCUGAC